GAUUGGGAGAUGACAGGGAAGGGGAGGAGCCUGGGAGGAGCCAGCACGCACUCUCCUCUUACUAUCAUUUAACAUCGAUUGUAUUUCACUGUUGACGCAAACCAGAUGACGAUUUUUUUAAGGUUUUUCAUUCAUAUUCUAAACCGCAAUGAUGAGUUUCGCGCCUUCGCUACAAGACACAAUCGCCGUGUGACCCAGAAAUCCCGUCACUGGGGUCGCUGCUCGAAACAGACGAUUGGGUGCCCUUGAGUUCGAUCACUUUCCGUUCAUGGCAAUCACUUGGUGUAUAUAUAGCAAGGCAGCGGACUCAGUGCCACAAGUGCCUGUCCUCCGCCGCCUCCACACGCCUCCACACGCCUUGUCGCAGCCCCGGGCACUCCACCACCAGCCAGACACAACGCACAGGGCCAACAGGCUCGUCAACAGUCACCUCGUCGCCAGUCUCGUGUCGUCCGGGCCACAGCCAUGAAGGUGGUGCCAGUGGUGGCGGCGGUGUUGUGCCUCGCCGCGGCGGGGGUCGCCACGCCCAGGCCGCAGGACCAGGACAGGGACGGCCGCUUCAUUUUCCCCACAAUCGACAUUAACCCUACCGUCAUCGAAUUACCACUGACGGACCUCCUCGGGGCUCUACCAUCAUGGCCAGUAGUCCUCCCGAAUAAGCCAGUCAUCACCAUUUCUCAUUCAACCAAAACUGGCUGAUGCCCGCGCCCCCUCACACCGCGGUCCGUGCAUGCGCGUAUGGAAGGCAGGGAGGGCGUGUCUCUCAGGGGCACUGCGUUCACCGUCGUGUAUUAGCUUUAAGUUCCUUCUGUUGCUUCUGUUUGACUUCCGUGUAUGUGUGUGUGGAUGGAUUAAAUUUACCUUUUUCC
Eriocheir sinensis (Chinese mitten crab) is the source of this 869-nucleotide long non-coding RNA. RefSeq lists it as uncharacterized. The record is from RefSeq and is a predicted model, not a curated record. Lineage: Eukaryota; Metazoa; Arthropoda; Malacostraca; Decapoda; Varunidae. The transcript is spliced from 2 exons.